GCCCCCGCUAGCCGCCUCUCUUGCCGUCGCGCUAACCCUAGAUAGGUUGCCGACCGCUGUUAUUUUGCCUGCUUCACAGCCCUCCUUACAUUAUUAGGCGAAUACGUACUAUUGUUAGUCAUAGGGAUGACUCACCCUGUGAUCGGUGUUGGAGUUUAGGGACGCUUUGCCCUAACUGCCGCCGUCGUCGUGUUGUGCCUUCCGAAAAACAUAACUUGAGAUAUCUUCGGUAAAAUAGGCAUAACUUUUCGCUCGUUUAUCAGAAAAAUCUGAAAUUUUUAUAGCAGUUUCUUGACACCAUUUGGACCCGACUCAAACUUGACUUCGCCCUGUUUGGUUUCGUCAAAAUUGCCAAAAAAAUCAGGAAAAUAAAGAAAAAAAUUGACAAGGGUUUUGCACGCUUUGAGAGAACUUGCUGAAAUUUCUGUAGACCACAUCUGACAUCAGUUGUAGUUACCAAUUUUUGUGGUUACAUCUUUUGUGAUCCUUGUUCAGAGAAAAAUAUAAAAAAUAGUGAAAGAAAAAUCUUGAUUCGUACUAGUACCUUUUGGGAAAAUCUGGGAAAAAUCAAGAUAAAGGAAAAAUCUGCUCUAUUGCUUGUUCGCUG
This 607-nucleotide long non-coding RNA is filed under the name Sorghum bicolor (sorghum). RNAcentral's name for it is "long non-coding RNA (SBIC_LNC006957)". Lineage: Eukaryota; Viridiplantae; Streptophyta; Magnoliopsida; Poales; Poaceae. The record is from RNAcentral.